CGUGUAGGCGGGUCUGUAAGCCGAUGGUGAAAUCCCCGGGCUCAACCCUGGGUGGUCUGUCGGAACUGCAGGUCUAGAGAAAGCCAGAGGCAGGUGGAAUUCCAGGUGUAGAGGUGAAAUUCGUAGAGAUCUGGAGGAACACCGGCGGCGAAGGCGGCCUGCUGGGGCUUUUCUGACGCUGAGGCGCGAAAGCGUGGGGAAGCAAACAG
RNAcentral lists this ribosomal RNA (209 nucleotides) under uncultured bacterium. RNAcentral's name for it is "partial 16S ribosomal RNA". It matches the Rfam family "Bacterial small subunit ribosomal RNA", at positions 568 to 775 of the family's 1533-position model. The record is from RNAcentral.